Molecule: long non-coding RNA, 1129 nt
Organism: Mesocricetus auratus (golden hamster)
Lineage: Eukaryota; Metazoa; Chordata; Mammalia; Rodentia; Cricetidae
Exons: 7
Source: RefSeq, a predicted model, not a curated record
GUAGGAUGCCAGAGGAGUAAGAGAUCCGGACCCUUUUUCCGGGAGAAGAGAAGAAAAACAGAACAGCCCAGGAAAGACACUUUGUGCUUGAGAACAACAAGGACAUAAAUUAUUUCCCAUCAAGGAAUGCCAGCCGAAAGCCACAGAUCUAGAGACACAAAGACCACCAAACAUCUGUGCCUCCUCAGUAAAGGAUCUGCAGAGAUGCCAGAGUUCCAAACAGCCAGGACUGUGAUGGAGCAACCAGCUACUCCAGGACAUGGCAACACCCCAGCUUUCUCAGAUCCCCUGAAGAUGGUCAAUGCCCCCCAGGUCAACAGGAAGCAGUCUUGAGAACUGGAUGCCCUUAUUCCCUAACUUGCCACGCCCAUAUCCCCACCCUUUUAAAAAUAAUAAUAAGAGGACUACCUGCCCAGGGGUGCCAGCGUCCACAAUAGGCUGGGUUCUUCCACAUCAAUCAUCAAUCAAGAAAACCCCCCUAAAGAUUUGCCUACAUGCCAAUCUGAUGGAGGCCACUUUUCAGUUGAGGUUCCCUCCUCCCAGAUGCUACAGUACCAGAGUAAGUCACCAUCCCUAGACUGCUUCGCCACUUGAGGACUCUCUUGUGGCUAAGAGAUGCUUUGGGAGCUUAGAAGAUACCGAAAGAGACUUGCCUUCAUCAAAAAAAGGUCACAAUUCCAAGCCAUGCAGGGCACGCCACCUCUGGUGCUAUUCUCCAACUCCAUUCUCUAGAAUGAAGAGGAAGAAGCUUGGUUGUUAGAAGCUGCCAUAAGGUGCCUGGCUACAGAAGCCCCAGCACACUCAGAUUCUCAGCUGGGCAGAGCCUUGUCCAAGGAAGCUGCAACAGAACAUGGCAGUGUUGACAUUCAGACCCAGUUCCCACACUGUCCCCCAGAGCCCAUGCUUAUAGCUUGCUGAAAGCUCACUGCUCUGCUUUUCACUGGGUGGUUAUAUUCCUGGGGGUAGCUUCUGGAAUCCGGCAUUGCCUAGUCAGCCUCAGUUAGCCAGACUACACAUCUUAGUCCUAAUGAACACUGCCUUAAAGGAGAGGCACUUUAUUAUUUCCAUUAUUUUGUUGAUUCUGUUUUUCUGAGAUAGGAUUUUGCUGUGUAGAUUUGACUAUCCUGGA